This 111-nucleotide microRNA precursor is filed under the name Cricetulus griseus (Chinese hamster). RNAcentral describes it as "mir-692". Lineage: Eukaryota; Metazoa; Chordata; Mammalia; Rodentia; Cricetidae. The record is from RNAcentral.
CUUGGAAGGCAAGGCCUCCUAGUCAUGCUUGAGAGUGAGCCGGUCAGAGAGAUACUCACCCAGAGAUGGCUGUGGCCCAGCCAGCUACGGAGACCGGUCAGGUGGUUGCCU